This 49-nucleotide small RNA is filed under the name Streptomyces toyocaensis. RNAcentral describes it as "raiA-hairpin RNA". It matches the Rfam family "raiA-hairpin RNA". The record is from Rfam by way of RNAcentral. Lineage: Bacteria; Bacillati; Actinomycetota; Actinomycetes; Kitasatosporales; Streptomycetaceae.
CACCGAGUCCGAGGCUCCGGACGUCAUUCGGAGCCUGGUGCAAAAGGGA